Molecule: ribosomal RNA, 254 nt
Filed under: uncultured Singulisphaera sp.
Lineage: Bacteria; Pseudomonadati; Planctomycetota; Planctomycetia; Isosphaerales; Isosphaeraceae
Description: partial 16S ribosomal RNA
Rfam family: Bacterial small subunit ribosomal RNA
Source: RNAcentral
GACGAACCGUGCGAACGUUAUUCGGAAUCACUGGGCUUAAAGCGCGUGCAGGCGGUCCGGCACGUCCGAGGCUGAAAUCCCCCGGCUCAACCGGGGAAGCGGCGCGGAUACGACCGGGCUGGAGGGGGGUAGGGGGAUCGGGAACUUCCGGUGGAGCGGUGAAAUGCGUUGAGAUCGGAAGGAACGCCCGUGGCGAAAGCGCGGUCCUGGACCCUCCCUGACGCUGAGACGCGAAAGCCAGGGGAGCGAACGGG